AUGCAAUCUAAUAUGCCGGCUUUCAAAACUGCCCCCGGCAUGCAAGUGAAGCCUAGUAAGAGGGCAAAAAAGAGUAAGCCGUCCCGAGACCCGGUCGUGAUUGAACCUGAGCUUGGCACGACUGCUCCUGAUAGUUCUACCCAUCAGCCGCCGCCUGAACCAGCCUAUGACAUUCCAGUACCAACCUCUGAUCCACCUGCCGAAAAUACUCUCAACAGCUCUGAUAACCCGGAAGCUCCUAGCCCGGCCAAAACAAUUGAUCCGGACGUUGAGAUUCUGGAGACUCACUUUGUUGAGCUAGGGCGACCCACUGUCCUUGCCAAGUGCUCUGCUAAGGAGGAACUUCUGGAACGCCGAAAGGCCAAGCUAGACAUUGCUGACUAUACUCAUUUAAGUAUUGGAGAUAUAGUCUCUGGCUAUCUCAAUCAAGUACAUAGCAGUCGUGACCUGGAAAUUGACAUGGUGAAGCAAAUACAGCAAAAAGCUGAGGCUACCAUAAGUCAAUUUGAGUCGAAGACUGCUGACCUGAAGAGCCGCCUGGUAACUCAAGAACUUGAGAUUCAAAAGGCCAACUCCAAAUUUGAAUUCAGUGUCUCUGAACAAGAGAAGUUGAAGAAGAAUUUUGAGGCGGAGAAGAAAAUCUCGGCUGAUGAAAAAGCUUCACUGUUAACCCGGGCUGAGACCGUAGAAGCUUUACUUGCAGAAGCAACAGCAGAGUUGUCUGGCUUAAAGCGCCAGAUAUCUCAAAUGGUCUCAGCAAUCUUUGGUCCUAGGAGCACAAACCUCAAGCAGAACAUGUUGAUCAAGCUGAAGGCGGUUUAUACUCUUGUGGAGUAG
Molecule: ribosomal RNA, 837 nt
Filed under: Triticum aestivum (bread wheat)
Lineage: Eukaryota; Viridiplantae; Streptophyta; Magnoliopsida; Poales; Poaceae
Description: partial small subunit ribosomal RNA
Source: RNAcentral